UACGGAGGGGGCUAGCGUUGUUCGGAAUUACUGGGCGUAAAGCGCGCGUAGGCGGCUUUGUAAGUUAGAGGUGAAAGCCCGGAGCUUGACUCCGGAACUGCCUUUAAGACUGCAUCGCUAGAAUCGUGGAGAGGUGAGUGGAAUUCCGAGUGUAGAGGUGAAAUUCGUAGAUAUUCGGAAGAACACCAGUGGCGAAGGCGACUCACUGGACACGUAUUGACGCUGAGGUGCGAAAGCGUGGGGAGCAAACAGG
This 253-nucleotide ribosomal RNA is filed under the name uncultured bacterium. RNAcentral describes it as "partial 16S ribosomal RNA". It matches the Rfam family "Bacterial small subunit ribosomal RNA", at positions 524 to 776 of the family's 1533-position model. The record is from RNAcentral.